This 35-nucleotide non-coding RNA is filed under the name Mycobacterium tuberculosis. The record is from RNAcentral. Lineage: Bacteria; Bacillati; Actinomycetota; Actinomycetes; Mycobacteriales; Mycobacteriaceae.
UUUUCUGACCACUUGUGCGGGAUUAGCGGGCUUAG